GAUGAACGCUGGCGGCGUGCCUAAUACAUGCAAGUCGAGCGAACGGACGCGAAGCUUGCUUCUCUGACGUUAGCGGCGGACGGGUGAGUAACACGUGGAUCACCUACCUAUCAGACUGGGAUAACUUCGGGAAACCGGCGCUAAUCCCGGAUAAUCUUUUGAACCGCAUGGUUCAAUAGUAAAAGACGGUCUUGCUGUCACUUAUAGAUGCAUCCGCGCUGCAUUAGCUAGUUGGUAAGGUAACGGCUUACCAAGGCGACGAUGCGUAGCCGACCUGAGAGGGUGAUCGGCCACACUGGAACUGAGACACGGUCCAGACUCCUACGGGAGGCAGCAGUAGGGAAUCUUCCGCAAUGGGCGAAAGCCUGACGGAGCAACGCCGCGUGAGUGAUGAAGGUCUUCGGAUCGGAAAACUCUGUUAUGAGGGAAGAACAGAUGUGUAAGUAACUGUGCACAGCGUGACGGUACCUAAUCAGAAAGCCACGGCUAACUACGUG
Molecule: ribosomal RNA, 497 nt
Filed under: uncultured bacterium
Lineage: Bacteria
Description: partial 16S ribosomal RNA
Rfam family: Bacterial small subunit ribosomal RNA
Source: RNAcentral